Molecule: microRNA precursor, 168 nt
Filed under: Pelobates cultripes (western spadefoot toad)
Lineage: Eukaryota; Metazoa; Chordata; Amphibia; Anura; Pelobatidae
Source: RNAcentral
GAUCAGCUGACACAUCCCGGCCAAUCUCCAGCAGACCCUCCCUCCCAGACCCUCCCACCUCCUGGACAGCAUCCAUGUUGAAGGCAGCUUUAACAUGGAUGCUGUCCAGGAAGUAGGAGGGUCUGGGAGGGAGGGUCUGUUGGAGAUUGGCCGGGAUGUGCCAGCUGA